This 1218-nucleotide ribosomal RNA is filed under the name Triticum aestivum (bread wheat). RNAcentral's name for it is "partial small subunit ribosomal RNA". The record is from RNAcentral. Lineage: Eukaryota; Viridiplantae; Streptophyta; Magnoliopsida; Poales; Poaceae.
AUGGAGCGGAGGCAGCCGCAGACCGCGCUGGCGCCGCGGCGGAAGGGCGCGCCGGCGGCGAGCCAGGAGUGGCUGGUGGUGCCGGCGGCGGGGGAGGAGAGCACGGGGGAGUUCGGGAGGCACCGGAUCAUGGAGAUAACGGGGCUCCCCGCGCGGGACCUCCGCAUGCUCGACCCGCAGAUCUCCUACCCGUCCACCAUCCUCGGCCGCGACCGCGCCAUCGUCGUCAACCUGGAGCACGUCAAGGCCAUCGUCACCGCCGCCGAGGUGCUCGUCCGCGACCCCGGCAACCCGCGCCUCCGCCCCUUCCUCCAAGAACUCCACGCCCGCCUCGCGCUCCCGGAUGCGUCUACCACUAAUCCGGCAACCGACGACAUAGACCUGGGUGGUGAUCAGGGGAACGUGCCAAUGCCUGGCAGCGCUAAGAUCCAGCCCUUCGAGUUCAAGGUGCUAGAGGUCUGCCUCGAACACACAUGCAAAUGCAUGGAAUCCGAGACGUUGGCCCUCGAGAAGGAGGCGUAUCCGGCCUUGGACAAGCUGACCUCCAAGGUUAGCACGCUCAACCUGGAGCACGUCAGGCAGAUCAAGAGCCGCCUGGUAGAGCUAACAGGCCGCGUGCAGAAGGUGAGGGAUGAUAUCGAGCAGUUGGUUGACGAUGACACGGAUAUGUCCGAGAUGUACCUGACGAGGAAGCUUGCGUUUCAAGGAGUCAAUGAGUCAUCGGUUAAAGUGGACUCCAACAAACAUGCAUCUCCUGACCAUGAGGAUGAGAAGGAGGAAGAAGACAGUGGCGAUGGCAUAGAGAGCUCCCACGGAAGUUCCGCUUUUGUUAAGCCUGAUGUAGAAGAGUUGGAAAUGCUUCUCGAAGCUUACUUCGUGCAGUUUGAUGGCACGCUGAACAAAUUAUGCCAUCUCCGCGACUAUGUGGACGACACUGAGGAUUACAUCAACAUGAUGCUGGACGAGAAGCAGAACCAGCUGCUGCAGAUGGGCGUGAUGCUCACGACGGCGACCGUGGUGAUCACCGCUGGCAUCGUGGUCGUGAGCCUGUUCGGCAUGAACAUCCACAUCGAGCUGACGUUAGAUCCGGAGACCCCCGAGAUGGCAAGGAUCAAAAACAGAAAGUUCUGGGAGACCACCUGGGCCACCGUUGCCGGCUGCGCCGCCAUAUACCUCCUGGCAAUCUAUGCAGGGAAGAAGAGCAAAUACUUGCAGUGA